AUUAAAGUUGUUGCGGUUAAAAAGCUCGUAGUUGGACUUGAGGGAUUUAUAUAAAAGGAUUCUUGUUUUAAAGCAAGAUAUCUUUAUAUGUUUUUUCCUUUCUUUUUAUUUUCUUUUAGGAGGAGUGGAGGCAACGAAGCUUCUCUGUGGGAAUAGAUAGUUUACUUUGAAAAAAUUAGAGUGUUUAAAGCAGACAUGACAUGUACAAUUGAAUAUUACAGCAUGGGAUAAUAGAAUAGGACAUUAACCUUAAUUUUGUUGGUUUUGAAGGUUAAUAGUAAUGAUUAAAAGGGAUAGUUGGGGUCACUUGUAUUUGAUCGCUAGGGGUGAAAUCCUAUGAUUGCUCAAAGACAAACUACUGCGAAAGCAUUUGACAAGGAUGUUUUCAUUGAUCAAGAACGAAAGUUAGGGGAUCGAAGAUGAUUAGAUACCGUCGUAGUCUUUACCAUAAACAAUGUCGACUUUGGAUUAGGAAAUAUUACAUGGAUGAUUUUCCUAGCACAAUAUGAGAAAUCAUAAGUAUUCAGACUCCGGGGGGAGUAUGGUCGCAAGAGUGAAACUUAAAGGAAUUGACGGAAGGGCACCACCAGGAGUGGAACCUGCGGCUUAAUUUGACUCAACACGGGGAAACUUACCGGGUCCGGACACUUUGAGGAUUGACAGAUUGAUAGCUCUUUCUUGAUUAAGUGGGUGGUGGUGCAUGGCCGUUUUUAGUUGGUGGAUUGAUUUGUCUGGUUAAUUCCGAAAACGAACGAGACCUUAACCUAUUAAAUAGUAUAAUUAAAAUUGAAUACAAAUUCUUGAAAUUUGAAAAAAAGAAAUGGAUACUUCUUAAAGGGACUCUUCAUAUUUUAGUGAAUGGAAGUUUAAGGCAAAAACAGGUCUGUGAUGCCCUUAGAUGUUCCGGGCUGCACGCGCGUUACACUGAUGCGAUCAAAAAGUUUAAUUUAAAUUUCCUUAUUUGAAAAGAUUGGGUAAACUCAGAAAUCGUAUCGUGAUUGGGAUAGUGCUUUGUAAUUAUCGCACUUGAACGAGGAAUUCCUAGUAGGUGCAAGUCAUCAUCUUGCUCCGAUUACGUCCCCGCCCUUUGUACACACCGCCCGUCGCUCCUACCGAUUGAAUAAUCCGAUGAGGAUUCAAGAUAGAGAUUUCUUAUUUGUCUGAAAGGAUAAAAAAGAAUUUUUUUAGAAUUUGUUCAAAUCUUAUUAUUUAGAGGAAGGAGAAGUCGUAACAAGGUUUCCGUUGGUGAACCAGCGGAAG
RNAcentral lists this ribosomal RNA (1260 nucleotides) under metagenome. RNAcentral describes it as "SSU rRNA". It matches the Rfam family "Eukaryotic small subunit ribosomal RNA", at positions 603 to 1823 of the family's 1831-position model. The record is from RNAcentral.